CAGUAGCGAAUAUUUAUGUUGUUGCAGUUAAAAAGCUCGUAGUUGAAUUUCUGUCUUUGACUAUUCUGUUAUACCUAUGGUAUGAUAUGAGUAGGAGGAGUACAUCUGUUUGAUUUUGCGUAGAUGUAUGUAAGUAUGUUUACGAGUAACAGGAUCAACCAUUUACUGUGAAAAAAUUGGAGUGUUUAAAGCAGGCGAGUUUGCCAUUUGAACAUAUUAGCAUGGAAUAAUAAGAUAGGAUUUUUAUUCUUUUUUGUUGGUGUUGAAUGAAGAUAAUGAUUGAUAGGGACAGUUGGGGGUGCUCGUAUUUAGUGGUUAGAGGUGAAAUUCGUGACCCACUGAAGACGAACUUAUGCGAAAGCAUUCACCAAGGAUGUCUUCUUUAA
RNAcentral lists this ribosomal RNA (386 nucleotides) under uncultured eukaryote. Its description in RNAcentral is "partial 18S ribosomal RNA". It matches the Rfam family "Eukaryotic small subunit ribosomal RNA", at positions 592 to 976 of the family's 1831-position model. The record is from RNAcentral.